AUUGAACGCUGGCGGAAUGCUUUACACAUGCAAGUCGAACGGCAGCACGGGGGCAACCCUGGUGGCGAGUGGCGAACGGGUGAGUAAUACAUCGGAACGUGCCCAGUCGUGGGGGAGUAACGCAGCGAAAGCUGUGCUAAUACCGCAUACGAUCUACGGAUGAAAGCGGGGGAUCGCAAGACCUCGCGCGAUUGGAGCGGCCGAUGGCAGAUUAGGUAGNGGUUGGGGUAAAGGCUCACCAAGCCAUCGAUCUGUAGCUGGUCUGAGAGGACGACCAGCCACACUGGGACUGAGGCACGGCCCAGACUCCUACGGGAGGCAGCAGUGGGGAAUUUUGGACAAUGGGCGCAAGCCUGAUCCAGCCA
This 365-nucleotide ribosomal RNA is filed under the name uncultured bacterium. RNAcentral's name for it is "bacterial SSU rRNA". It matches the Rfam family "Bacterial small subunit ribosomal RNA", at positions 29 to 394 of the family's 1533-position model. The record is from RNAcentral.